CAGCCCUAAACGAUGCGCGUUAGGUGUAUCGGUGACCACGAGUCACCGAGGUGCCGAAGGGAAACCGUGAAACGUGCCGCCUGGGAAGUACGGUCGCAAGGCUGAAACUUAAAGGAAUUGGCGGGGGAGCACCACAACGGGUGGAGCUUGCGGUUUAAUUGGAUUCAACGCCGGAAUCUUACCGGGACCGACAGCAACAUGAAGGCCAGGCUGAAGACUUUGCCGGAUUAGCUGAGAGGAGGUGCAUGGCGUCAGUGACU
RNAcentral lists this ribosomal RNA (260 nucleotides) under uncultured archaeon. RNAcentral's name for it is "partial 16S ribosomal RNA". It matches the Rfam family "Archaeal small subunit ribosomal RNA", at positions 748 to 1008 of the family's 1478-position model. The record is from RNAcentral.